UUAGCGGCGGACGGGUGAGUAAUGCUUAGGAAUCUGCNUAUUAGUGGGGGACAACAUUUCGAAAGGAAUGCUAAUACCGCAUACGUCCUACGGGAGAAAGCAGGGGAUCUUCGGACCUUGCGCUAAUAGAUGAGCCUAAGUUGGAUUAGCUAGUUGGUGGGGUAAAGGCCUACCAAGGCGACGAUCUGUAGCGGGUCUGAGAGGAUGAUCCGCCACACUGGGACUGAGACACGGCCCAGACUCCUACGGGAGGCAGCAGUGGGGAAUAUUGGACAAUGGGCGCAAGCCUGAUCCAGCCAUGCCGCGUGUGUGAAGAAGGCCUUAUGGUUGUAAAGCACUUUAAGCGAGGAGGAGGCUACUGAAGUUAAUACCUUCAGAUAGUGGACGUUACUCGCAGAAUAAGCACCGGCUAACUCUGUGCCAGCAGCCGCGGUAAUACAGAGGGUGCAAGCGUUAAUCGGAUUUACUGGGCGUAAAGCGCGCGUAGGCGGCUAAUUAAGUCAAAUGUGAAAUCCCCGAGCUUAACUUGGGAAUUGCAUUCGAUACUGGUUAGCUAGAGUGUGGGAGAGGAUGGUAGAAUUCAGGUGUAGCGGUGAAAUGCGUAGAGAUCUGGAGGAAUACCGAUGGCGAAGGCAGCCAUCUGGCCUAACACUGACGCUGAGGUGCGAAAGCAUGGGGAGCAAACAGGAUUAGAUACCCUGGUAGUCCAUGCCGUAAACGAUGUCUACUAGCCGUUGGGGCCUUUGAGGCUUUAGUGGCGCAGCUAACGCGAUAAGUAGACCGCCUGGGGAGUACGGUCGCAAGACUAAAACUCAAAUGAAUUGACGGGGGCCCGCACAAGCGGUGGAGCAUGUGGUCUAAUUCGAUGCAACGCGAAGAACCUUACCUGGCCUUGACAUAGUAAGA
Molecule: ribosomal RNA, 906 nt
Filed under: uncultured bacterium
Lineage: Bacteria
Description: bacterial SSU rRNA
Rfam family: Bacterial small subunit ribosomal RNA
Source: RNAcentral